UACAAAUGAAGUUGACGGGACCCGCACAAGCAGCGGAGCGUGUGGUUUAAUUCGUUGCUACACGAAGAACUUACCUGGGUUUGACAUAUAGGUUGUAGGGAACUGAAAGGGACCGACCCUUCGGGGAGCCUAUACAGGUGUUGCAUGGCUGUCGUCAGCUCGUGUCGUGAGAUGUUCGGUUAAGUCCGCUAACGAGCGCAACCCUCGUCGUAUGUUAUAUGUGUCAUACGAGACUGCCGGUAAAAAGCCGGAGGAAGGUGAGGAUGAUGUCAAGUCAGCAUGACCUUUAUAUCCAGGGCUACACACACGCUACAAUGGUCUGUACAAUGGGUAGCCAAGCCGCGAGGCGGAGCCAAUCCUGAAAGCAGGCCUCAGUUCAGAUUGCAGUCUGCAACUCGACUGCAUGAAGCCGGAGUUGCUAGUAACCGCAGGUCAGCAAUACUGCGGUGAAUACGUUCCCGGGUCUU
RNAcentral lists this ribosomal RNA (467 nucleotides) under uncultured Anaerolineaceae bacterium. RNAcentral describes it as "bacterial SSU rRNA". It matches the Rfam family "Bacterial small subunit ribosomal RNA", at positions 903 to 1382 of the family's 1533-position model. The record is from RNAcentral. Lineage: Bacteria; Bacillati; Chloroflexota; Anaerolineae; Anaerolineales; Anaerolineaceae.